GAUUUCCUGCCUUGUUAGUGAUAAGAAAUAAAACUUUUUCCUACGUUCACAAAUUUGGGAGUCAGCGUAAUGUGAGUGUUGAGCGCCUGAAAGGGAAAAAGCCUGAUCUUGCUUACAAGACACCCACCUGUAUAUACAGGGAUUAAAGUUUUGUUCUACACGGCAAGGCGGGUUUCUU
This 178-nucleotide non-coding RNA is filed under the name Nitrospirota bacterium. Its description in RNAcentral is "Nitrospirae bacterium (marine metagenome) 6S RNA". It matches the Rfam family "6S / SsrS RNA". Rfam says of the family: E. coli 6S RNA was the first non coding RNA to be sequenced, but its function was unknown until recently. Lineage: Bacteria; Pseudomonadati; Nitrospirota. The record is from RNAcentral.